UUUAAGUGAAGAGUUUGAUCCUGGCUCAGAGUGAACGCUGGCGGCAGGCCUAACACAUGCAAGUCGAACGGCAGCACAGAGGAGCUUGCUCCUUGGGUGGCGAGUGGCGGACGGGUGAGGAAUGCAUCGGAAUCUGCCCAAUCGUGGGGGAUAACCUCGGGAAACCGGGACUAAUACCGCAUACGACCUUCGGGUGAAAGCAGGGGAUCGCAAGACCUUGCGCGAUUGGAUGAGCCGAUGCCGGAUUAGCUAGUUGGUGGGGUAAAGGCCCACCAAGGCGACGAUCCGUAGCUGGUCUGAGAGGAUGAUCAGCCACACUGGAACUGAGACACGGUCCAGACUCCUACGGGAGGCAGC
Molecule: ribosomal RNA, 357 nt
Filed under: Pseudoxanthomonas suwonensis
Lineage: Bacteria; Pseudomonadati; Pseudomonadota; Gammaproteobacteria; Lysobacterales; Lysobacteraceae
Description: bacterial SSU rRNA
Rfam family: Bacterial small subunit ribosomal RNA
Source: RNAcentral